AAUAUAUAGGAGGGGAAAAAGACAUAUAUAUAUAUAAAUAAAAUUCCUGAUAGUAAUUUCAUCUACCACACAUCUGGUAAGGCCUUUAAUAAGUGUUUAUUGAAUGUGGGCCGGCACCAUGGUGACUCAGGGUGUUACACUCUUCAGACUUCCUAAAAAACCUCUGAGCACUAAUCAUCUUAUUACAAUCACAGCCACAGCUAACUGGGCUUUAGCUCCUGCUGGGUCCGCAGGGCAAUGUCAUGUAUAGCAAAGUUGGGUGAAAGCUAUAAUUUAAGAUCUUAUUUGUUCAUUCCAAUCAAUGAUAAUGCUGUUGUGUACUCUAGAAUCACACAAAUUCAGACUCUGAAUUCCUUUCUUCGACUCCUACUACCCACCAUCAAAAUGACACAUUAUCUGCUUUAAACCCUCUGAAGGUGCAGAAGAAAUUCUGCAGGGUACUGAAGAGAGUUUCCUCAUUCCUAUACAAGAAUUGGUCCAGAAGUCAGCUGAGCAUCUAUUAGGGCAAGGAGGCCAAAGUUCAAAUCACAGUACAGGAAGACAACUGAGAGAGUCAGGGGAUUCAGAACUGCUGCAAGCAGGGUUGAGGGGAUGUUUAACUUGGAGAGGACCUUCGCAGGAGCAGAAAAUAACAUGAUCUGUAUGGCCUGAGAGAGACCAAACUAGUUGCAAUGAACACCCCAAGGGCCCAGACUGUGGUUGCUAAAUAUCAUUUCCAAAUAAAAAUAACUAUGGCUUGUUGGAAAAAUGGCUGAUUCUAGGUCUGGGACUAGAAAGAUGAGCCUGGAUGUCUCACCAUACCAGAAAGCAAGGAAGCUGGUAAGAUUAUUAGGGUUGUUUGAAAAGAACUCAGGAGGCACUUUGACUCCCAGUGACCAAAGACAGACUAAGGCAACAUCAAUAAGGAGAACUGCAAUAGAAUGAAAAAAAUGUUUACAAUCAUGGGUUCAUGGUUUAAUGGAUCUAGGCAAAAUCACCAAUGGCUGCCAAGAUGAUCAAAAAAAAAAAAAAAAAAAAAGAACUGCAAUCUGAUAGAGCCUCUAGAACAAUGGGUCUCAAAUUUUAGCAUGCGCCAGAAUCACCUGGAAGGCUUCUUAAAAGAUCUAGGGCUGGGGUUGGCCUAGUGGCAUAGUGGUUAAGUUUGAGCACUCAGCUUCAGUGGCCCAGGGUUCGCAGGUUUGGAUCCUGGGCAUGGACCUACACACUACUCGUCAAGCCACACUAUGGUGGUGUCCCAAAUACAAAACAGAAGAAGGCUGGCACAGAUGUUAGCUCAGGGCCAUUUUCCUCACCAAUAAACAAACACACACACACCUAUGGCUGGGCUCCACUUACUGUUUCUGACUCAGUGAGUCUGGGAUGGGAUUUGAGAAAAUGCACUUCUAACAAGGUCCCAUGAGAUGCUGAUGCUAUUGGCCCAGGAGCCACACUUUGAGAACCAUUGCUCUACAUCUAUCAAUUUACAGGAAAUGCAGGGGACAGAACACCACACUAAAUGACACCAUGAGAAUGCAAUCAGCAAAAUCAAGACUAGGCAACUACUCAACAGUUAACCUCAACAAAUACAUCACAACGGAAAAAAAAGGAGACUCUAUAGAUUAAGGACACAACAUGUUUUUCAGAGGUAUACAUUGAAAUAUCUUGAGCUGAAAUGUCUAGAAUUUCUUUCAUAGUUAUCUGGAAAACAAAGUGGAUAGGCACAUAGACAUUGUUAAAGCUGGAUGAGUACAUGGGUGGUUCACCAUACUAUUCUCUAGCUAGUGUUUGAAAUUUAGCAUAAUAAAACAGCAAUGUAUUUAAAUAGUACACUCAAGGCUGGUCACGAAUGAUGAGAAACUAAGAGUAGUAGAUAUUACUCUAAUAGCUGGGCACCAUAUUCAGCAAUUCUGCUUUGCCUUCCUUUUUCUCAAUUGGCCAGAAGAAUAUUACGGUUUGACUAUUCUACUUAGAGAAUGUUUUAAUAAAGGCAGCUACUAUAACAAGUGAUGUGCCAAGCGCUUUGUUAAUAGCAUUUACUCCCCACAACAAUAUCACAAGGCACUAUUUUAUAGACGAGGACAUAGCUUACUUUCUAUUGCAUAUUCCUCUCAUCUACGUAAAAGUUGCUUCUCACUUCCUCUUUAGCCCCGGGGUAGGGGAAUCGCCCUACUUUCAGUGGUAAUGGUGUACAGUCUGACUGCCAUCAAAGCUCUCCCUCAGCAGCUUUCUCAAACUCCAAAAUGGCCAGCUCCCUCCCCUCCUAAAAACAAAACCCUUUCUUUUGACCUUACCUUUACAACAGUCUACCCUCCCACAGAAAGCACUUCCUUACAGUAGAAUACCACUGAAUAGAAGUGAGAAAAUCAACAAUAAAUGUUAACAGUGGGUGAUGGUUUAAUAAAGAACUGGGUAUUUAACAGACUCUAGUUAUCCCCCAAAUUACUGAUUACAAAGGGAAAAAGUGACUUUAUUGUGAUCCAGAUUACUAUUACAACGUGCCACUAGAAAUGAUGCAUCGAGGAGAGUCUCAUUCUUGUGAUAUUACCGCCAAAAAUGCCAGCAUGAGGAGAUAUCAAACACAAAUUGAGGGAAAUCCUAUAAAAUACCUGUCCUUUGCUAUUUGAAAAUGACAUGGUCAAGAAAAAGGCUGAGGACCUGCUCCAGAUCAAAGAUCAAAGAGCAAUGACAACAAAAUGCAGCAACUGAUCCUGGAUGAAUGGAAAAAUAAAGAACAUGAUAGGACAACUGAUGAAAUGUAGAUUUUUCUUGUUUUAGUUGUAGGUCCUUUCUAGUUGUGGCAUGUGGUGAUCCACAUAGCAUAACCAGAGGCACUCGCAACUAGAAUAGACAACUAUGUACUGGGGGGAU
Equus caballus (horse) is the source of this 2847-nucleotide long non-coding RNA. NCBI's taxonomy places the organism in Eukaryota, Metazoa, Chordata, Mammalia, Perissodactyla, Equidae. The record is from Ensembl.